Strongylocentrotus purpuratus (purple sea urchin) is the source of this 1388-nucleotide long non-coding RNA. RefSeq lists it as uncharacterized. The transcript is spliced from 3 exons. NCBI's taxonomy places the organism in Eukaryota, Metazoa, Echinodermata, Echinoidea, Camarodonta, Strongylocentrotidae. The record is from RefSeq and is a predicted model, not a curated record.
AUUUUCUUCCUAUUUUUUGCACUUAAAUUUUUUAUGACAUGAUACAAAUUUGUAAACUAUUUUUUGUCUAUUUUCUAAACUUGCAUAUUUUCAUUGUUUAUGACUGGCAUCCUAUUCAAAAAGCCCGCUUCUCCUGCCAUUAUCUCUGUUGUUCAUUUUGCGACUUAUUGGUUGUUUUUAGCUGUGGGGUCACAUAUUGAAUAGUGAGCUCAAAGAUGACCAUAAAUAAACAAUGUGUAAAAAGAAAAUGUACGAAAUUUCAAUUUUGUUCCUUUAUUAAUAUUCUUGAUUUUAUUUACAAACUAUAGUAGUGACUAGUGCACUCAAAGAUAACCAUACAUAAACCAUGUGUAAAAAGAAAAUGUACACAUAGAAAUUUCAACCCAAAAAAAAAUCUCCUUUAUUAAUAGAAAAAAAAACAUUCGAUCGAGAUAUUCCCGUUCUAUGUGUGCGCAAAGUUUCAACGUAGAGGACAGUACGCAAGUACGUAAUUUGAAAAUUACCCGUUAUUUUUUUUCCCCACUGGCACUGCUGUGCGCAUCGGACUUUUGCUGAUUUUCGUUCAUCAAACGUCUCCAAAUCACACCAAAAUGUCUUCCAGCAAUUAUUCUAGCGAUGAAAUUUCAUCAAGAGAUAGUGACUCCGCAUACUCCGAUGCCUCCUUAUCCCAUUUUAGUGAUUCUUCCCAAGAAAAUGAGCCCGACAAAUGUUCAAAAUAUUACUAGUCCCACUCGUAGAGAAACGAGUUUGUUGUCGAAUUACGGACCAUCGACGAUCGGAACUGGCCCCAGAAAACAGCUGAAAAGGAAUCAGAAAACACAACCUGCUAAAGCACCACGCAAGAAGAAGAGCAAGUCUUCCAAGUCCGAGAGUGUGUCUGCGAGAUCAAUUGAAACUAAUCAAGCUACAAUGUACAUGUAACGUACAAUCACCAUUCGAUGCCUGUGAACAGCAUGACCAACAUCUGUAUCCUUUACAUUAGUAUUUGUUUCCAUUUUAUUAUGUAAUUCUUAUGUCUAAUCAUUGAGAUUCAUAGGCAAGUACAACAUGUAUGUGUACACAAUGAGUGCCUGCAUAUUGUGAAGAUAAAGGACCAUAAGACCAUUACUUAUGAUACAUGGUAAUGAUGGUAUACUUUGUAAAACUAUUUGAAAAUAGUAGCAUGUAAGUCUGUCAUUUUCUUGUUUAUAUAUAUCUCAAUGACAUGACAUGUCAUUGAUUUUGUAGUAAGUGUUUCUAGAUUAUGAUGAUUGUAUUAAGAUUUUGACAGUUCAAUUGAGAUUGAGAAAAUUAUGUAACAUGUCAACUGUACAAUAGAGCAUGCAUGCAUUGUUGAAAAAUCUGUUUUAUGAUUUAUUUUAUUUUGUUAUCUUUGUAAGUAACGAGAA